RNAcentral lists this ribosomal RNA (333 nucleotides) under Escherichia coli. RNAcentral's name for it is "bacterial SSU rRNA". It matches the Rfam family "Bacterial small subunit ribosomal RNA", at positions 1 to 330 of the family's 1533-position model. The record is from RNAcentral. Lineage: Bacteria; Pseudomonadati; Pseudomonadota; Gammaproteobacteria; Enterobacterales; Enterobacteriaceae.
AAAUUGAAGAGUUUGAUCAUGGCUCAGAUUGAACGCUGGCGGCAGGCCUAACACAUGCAAGUCGAACGGUAACAGGAAGCAGCUUGCUGCUUCGCUGACGAGUGGCGGACGGGUGAGUAAUGUCUGGGAAACUGCCUGAUGGAGGGGGAUAACUACUGGAAACGGUAGCUAAUACCGCAUAACGUCGCAAGACCAAAGAGGGGGACCUUCGGGCCUCUUGCCAUCGGAUGUGCCCAGAUGGGAUUAGCUAGUAGGUGGGGUAACGGCUCACCUAGGCGACGAUCCCUAGCUGGUCUGAGAGGAUGACCAGCCACACUGGAACUGAGACACGGU